Molecule: transfer RNA, 108 nt
Filed under: Nitrososphaerota archaeon
Lineage: Archaea; Thermoproteati; Nitrososphaerota
Description: tRNA-Ser
Rfam family: tRNA
About the family: Transfer RNA (tRNA) molecules are approximately 80 nucleotides in length.
Source: RNAcentral
GCCGGGGUGGCGGAGUGGCUGUGGUGAAAAUAGCCACCAUAAAACGCGUCAGCCUCGAGAGCUGAUGGGCCCUAGCGGCCCCCAUGGGUUCAAGUCCCAUCCCCGGCG